AGGACGAACGCUGGCGGCGCGCUUAACACAUGCAAGUCGAACGUGAAGCUGGAGCUUGCUCCGGUGGAAAGUGGCGAACGGGUGCGUAACACGUGAGCAACCUGCCCCGAAGACUGGGAUAACACCGGGAAACCGGUGCUAAUACCGGAUACCUUCUUCCGAUCGCAUGGUCGGCUGAAGAAAUGGAUUCCGCUUCGGGAUGGGCUCGCGGCCUAUCAGCUUGUUGGUGAGGUAACGGCCCACCAAGGCGACGACGGGUAGCUGGUCUGAGAGGACGACCAGCCACACUGGGACUGAGACACGGCCCAGACUCCUACGGGAGGCAGCAGUGGGGAAUCUUGCUCAAUGGGCGAAAGCCUGAAGCAGCGACGCCGCGUGCGGGAUGAAGGCCCUCGGGUUGUAAACCGCUUUCAGCAGGGACGAAAUUGACGGUACCUGCAGAAGAAGGCCCGGCCAACUACGUGCCAGCAGCCGC
RNAcentral lists this ribosomal RNA (475 nucleotides) under uncultured bacterium. RNAcentral's name for it is "SSU rRNA". It matches the Rfam family "Bacterial small subunit ribosomal RNA", at positions 26 to 518 of the family's 1533-position model. The record is from RNAcentral.